This 1113-nucleotide long non-coding RNA is filed under the name Oryctolagus cuniculus (rabbit). RNAcentral describes it as "lncRNA (ENSOCUG00000031513.1)". Lineage: Eukaryota; Metazoa; Chordata; Mammalia; Lagomorpha; Leporidae. The record is from RNAcentral.
AUGACCCAGUCAGCAAGGUUUCUGGGUGGAGCAGCAGCGAAUGACAGACAUGGAUGUGUGGGUGACACAGCUGCUCCGAGCUGUGCCUCUAUCCCCGGAAGGAGCUGUAGGGCGUGGGACCUGCCCCUUGACCGUCAGCAGGAACCACAAGCUGUGAGCUGCUCCCCCAGUUGCAGCAGUGACUUCUGUGGAGUAAGGCUGAGUUGGCCAGCUGUUAGGGUUAGGGUUAGGGUUAGGGUUAGGGUUAGGGUUAGGGUUAGGGUUAGGGUUAGGGUUAGGGUUAGGGUUAGGGUUAGGGUUCACUCCCUGAAUGGCUGCAACAGCCAGAGCUGGGCUGAUCCAAAGCCUGGAGCCAGGAGCUUCUUCCAGGUCUCCCAUGUGGGUGCAGGGGCCCAAACACUUGGGCCAUCUUACUGCAGAGAAAUGCCAUCAGCAGCCGCUGUGCAAGGUGGCUACAGAGCGAUGCUGGAGAAGCCUCAGGAGAAAGAAUCCUGCAGGCUUUGCCUUGGUGGGUGGUGCUCCGCGGGCCCCCACAGAGGCCCUGCAGUGGAUCCCGGGAAGGACCAAGAUAUAAGGGGCUGCCGAGUUGCCAGUGAGAGCCCCUGCAGCUCAGACAGCCCAGGGCCUCCCCAUUCUCCUCUCACCCAUCCGCCCUCCACAUUGGCACCACUGAGAAGGAAUGGGUUCUGUUUUAUUCACUCCUACUGCAGAAGAAAAAUAGCUUCCUUUUGCCAGGGGACCACAGAGCGGGAAGCCCCAAAUCUAGAAUUGACCCAGCUUGCUACAAAGAACCCAAAUUCCAGUCCUGCCUGCAGAUGGCAAGCAGCCCCCACUGCUGGGGCCAGGUGUUUGUGCCUGCGCUGUCCAGCAGGGGCUCACCUUCCAGGCCCGCCACUGGCUGGCUGCUUCUGCCAGGAAGUCCAGCCCUUCGCGUCAUGGGCAUCAGAGCAGGACACCAUGAUGGAAAGCCUGGGUGAUCACCAGGUUUCUGGAAGACUCCAGGUGGCUGGCCAGCUUUUGAUGAGCGACAGCUUCCCCAGGUGUUGUUACUUAUCUGUAUCUAUACUAAGUGAAGAGGACGUUACACCAGAAAGGGUCAGGUUGACCAUUUGA